GACGAACGCUGGCGGCGUGCUUAACACAUGCAAGUCGAACGGAAAGGCCUGCUUUCCCUUGUGGAUUGCGGGUACUCGAGUGGCGAACGGGUGAGUGACACGUGAGUGAUCUGCCCCCAACUUGGGUAUAAGCCUGGGAAACUGGGUCUAAUUCCCGAUAGGACUGCAGGGUGGUGCCUGUGGUGGAAAACGAUUUUCUAGUGGUUGGGGAUGAGCUCGCGGCCUAUCAGCUUGUUGGUGGGGUAAUGGCCUACCAAGGCGGCGACGGGUAGCCGGCCUGGGAGGGUGGACGGCCACAGUGGGACUGAGAUACGGCCCAGACUCCUACGGGAGGCAGCAGUGGGGAAUAUUGCACAAUGGGCGGAAGCCUGAUGCAGCGACGCCGCGUGGGGGAUGACGGCCUUCGGGUUGUAAACUCCUUUCGGCCGCGAGGAAGCCACCUGGUUGGAAGGGUGGUGACGGUAGUGGUAGAAGAAGCACCGGCUAACUACGUG
RNAcentral lists this ribosomal RNA (494 nucleotides) under uncultured bacterium. RNAcentral's name for it is "partial 16S ribosomal RNA". It matches the Rfam family "Bacterial small subunit ribosomal RNA", at positions 28 to 507 of the family's 1533-position model. The record is from RNAcentral.